GGAUGCGAUCAUCAUACCAGCACUAACGCACCGGAUCCCAUCAGAACUCCGAAAGUUAAGCGUGCUUGGGCGAGAGUAGUACUAGGAUGGGUGACCCCUUGGGAAGUCAUCGUGUUGCAUCCC
Molecule: ribosomal RNA, 123 nt
Organism: Lycium ferocissimum
Lineage: Eukaryota; Viridiplantae; Streptophyta; Magnoliopsida; Solanales; Solanaceae
Source: RefSeq, a predicted model, not a curated record